UACGGGGGGGGCAAGCGUUGUUCGGAAUUACUGGGCGUAAAGGGCUCGUAGGCGGCCAACUAAGUCAUACGUGAAAUCCCUCGGCUUAACCGGGGAACUGCGUCUGAUACUGGAUGGCUUGAGUUCGGGAGAGGGAUGCGGAAUUCCAGGUGUAGCGGUGGAAAUGCGUAGAUAUCUGGAGGAACACCGGUGGCGAAGGCGGCCAUC
This 207-nucleotide ribosomal RNA is filed under the name uncultured bacterium. Its description in RNAcentral is "partial 16S ribosomal RNA". It matches the Rfam family "Bacterial small subunit ribosomal RNA", at positions 524 to 729 of the family's 1533-position model. The record is from RNAcentral.